This 497-nucleotide ribosomal RNA is filed under the name uncultured bacterium. RNAcentral describes it as "partial 16S ribosomal RNA". It matches the Rfam family "Bacterial small subunit ribosomal RNA", at positions 28 to 507 of the family's 1533-position model. The record is from RNAcentral.
GAUGAACGCUGGCGGCGUGCCUAAUACAUGCAAGUCGAGCGAACAGACGAGAAGCUUGCUCCUCUGAUGUUAGCGGCGGACGGGUGAGUAACACGUGGAUAACCUACCUAUAAGACUGGGAUAACUUCGGGAAACCGGAGCUAAUACCGGAUAAUAUUUUGAACCGCAUGGUUCUAAAGUGAAAGACGGUUUUGCUGUCACUUAUAGAUGGAUCCGCGCUGCAUUAGCUAGUUGGUAAGGUAACGGCUUACCAAGGCAACGAUACAUAGCCGACCUGAGAGGGUGAGCGGCCACACUGGAACUGAGACACGGUCCAGACUCCUACGGGAGGCAGCAGUAGGGAAUCUUCCGCAAUGGGCGAAAGCCUGACGGAGCAACGCCGCGUGAGUGAUGAAGGUCUUCGGAUCGUAAAACUCUGUUAUUAGGGAAGAACAAAUGUGUAAGUAACUGUGCACGUCUUGACGGUACCUAAUCAGAAAGCCACGGCUAACUACGUG